Molecule: ribosomal RNA, 442 nt
Filed under: uncultured bacterium
Lineage: Bacteria
Description: partial 16S ribosomal RNA
Rfam family: Bacterial small subunit ribosomal RNA
Source: RNAcentral
CCUACGGGAGGCAGCAGUAGGGAAUCUUUCACAAUGGGCGAAAGCCUGAUGGAGCAACGCCGCGUGCAGGAUGAAGGCCUUCGGGUUGUAAACUGCUUUUAUAAGCGAGAAAUAUGAUGGUAACUUAUGAAUAAGGAUCGGCUAACUACGUGCCAGCAGCCGCGGUCAUACGUAGGAUCCGAGCAUUAUCCGGGGUGACUGGGUGUAAAGAGUUGCGUAGGUGGCAUAAUAAGUAGCUAGUGAAAUCUGGUGGCUCAACCAUUCAGACGAUUAGCUAAACUGUUAAGCUCGAGACCGUUAGGGGUAACUGGAAUUUCUAGUGUAGGAGUGAAAUCCGUAGAUAUUAGAAGGAACACCAAUAGCGUAGGCAGGUUGCUGGGACGGUUCUGACACUAAGGCACGAAAGCGUAGGGAGCAAACGGGAUUAGAUACCCCGGUAGUC